GAUUAAAUGGCUGAAAUUAAGCGAUAAAUUGUAAAUUUAUUUAUAAGAAUUUUUUUCUUUUUAAUCA
This is a non-coding RNA of Culicoides brevitarsis, 67 nucleotides long. The record is from the annotation of a RefSeq genome assembly. Lineage: Eukaryota; Metazoa; Arthropoda; Insecta; Diptera; Ceratopogonidae.